This is a non-coding RNA of Monodelphis domestica (gray short-tailed opossum), 806 nucleotides long. NCBI's taxonomy places the organism in Eukaryota, Metazoa, Chordata, Mammalia, Didelphimorphia, Didelphidae. The record is from RefSeq and is a predicted model, not a curated record.
CUGGGGCAGAUCUGGCGUGCUGUAGGAGGCAACUCCGUCCAAACGAGUGCGGAGGAGGCCAGGGCGUGAGAGGCGACCUUGAAGGGAGCCCGGGAGCUCAGCCCUGACUUUUGCACUACAUCCAUCCAUCGUAUUCCUAGAUAAAUCUUUGGCUCUCUGUCCUUUGGUUUUCCACUUGGUAAAACGUGUUCCUCGUGCAUUCUGCAGGGGGAUUGUGCAGAUCAGUGAGAUUAUUUUGGGGAAGAGCUUGGAUCUUCGCGGAAAGAAGGCAUUACAGCAAUUCAAGAUUUCUCAGAAAGCUCCCAUAGGCUGGCUUCAUUGACAAGAAAGAAGGGAGAAGCAUGGAAGAGAGAAUUGGAGUGAAGAUUCUGAAGUCAUCAACUUGACUCCAGAAAAACCAAGGUUGAAGAAUACUACCUACCUCCCAACAGAGAGGUGAUGGACCACUGGUACAGAAUGAAACAUGCAUUUGUGGACAUGGCAAAUGUGUGCCUUUGUCAAUGAGCAAGCAACCAGACUUUUGGCUAGGCACAAAGAUACAAAGAAAAAAAAUGUGCGUGUAUUCUAUGUACACCUAAAUAUAAACUGAAUAAAUAAAUGUAAAUUUCAAAGUUGAAACUGACAAGGAAAACAACUUUUUUUAAAAGUUAUUUUGGGGAAAAAAGGGAAUACAAAAAAAGGAAUCACUAUUGGGGUGGCUAAGAUGAGAGCAAAAACAAGAAACUGCUUAUAUCUGUAAUUGUGUUUUUUCUACCAAAGGGUGGAAAAAUCUUUGCUCUGGAAAGAGCAGAACAAAAAUGACUUAU